UUUUUAAUAACACGAGUUUGACCGCGUUCUCAAACAGUGCCUGACAUGCGACGCAACACGAAGGGCAAUUACGGGAAUGAAAAGCAACAACCAUCUACCAUAAAGAGAGAAAAUUCAGGCAGUCAAAGAGCAAUCAUAGAAUGAGGUUUUGCUCUCAGAGAGGUGGACUGGUUGCGCUACGGUGGUUGCCUCCCUCUCCCUCUGAAAGACUGCGAAGCCGAUGAUUUCACCAUCGCCCUCUUCACAUGUGUAUGUGUGUGUGUAUGUGUGUGUAUUAUAAUCCUUUUGUUAAUAUUUCCUUCUUCUUCUUCUUCUUCUUCUUCUUCUUCUGCUUCUGCUUCGAGGCUGUGAUGUAUUUACCAGUUAUAAAUCAGUAAAUUUUAAAGAAACCCUUCAAUCAUUUGGCAUGGCAAGUUAGGGUUUCUCUGUGAAAUUGACUGUUUUGUCCAUUUUCACAGAGAAAACUCUCCUCAUUGCAGCCGUGGUUUUUGUGUUUCUUUUUUAUGUGUUUGGCAUUAUGGUAGCUUUUCGGGUUCAGGUUUGAAUUGAUUUUCAGACUACAAAAAGCGAAUCUGAGCCUCCUGAAAAGCCGGUAUAUUCUGCUCUCGUAACACUCCAAAACAAAAGAAAGAAAAAAAAAUGCGAUCUCUCUCUCUCUGAACCUCUCUAUCUCUCUAUGACUCUAUCUAUCUAUGAGGCAGUGAUGAUCUUCGAAAUGAAGAAUCAGAUAGAAAGGGACAUGCAAUUUUUGGCAGGGCGAUAUUGUUAGGUCUGUGAAAUGAAAUGAGUGUUUUAUAAGCCAGUAGGAAGACGAAACAUCAUUCUUUCACAGGCACUGUUGCAGCCAUGGUUGCGUUCCGCUUCUUGUCUGACAAACUGCGAAUCUGAGCCUCCAGUCCCCUCCCCUCCAAAUUUUUCUUAAAACCCCCAUCUGGGUUUCAUUUAAUUGUAUCCCUGUGCUAUUCUUGUUUACCCAAUUUAUGUUUUUUCUAGAAGUUGCUUUUGUCUUUUUAAUUUAUUCUCUCAAUUUCGGAUAGAAAUUGCUCUUGAUUCUGGGUGGCUCCAAAAUCUUAAGACGUAGAAAAUAGAAAUCAAUUACUGCUGGAUUUUUUAAACUCCUACAGAUUUUAUUAAAUAAUGUGUGAGAACGGAUCAUUGGAUUCUUCUUUUUGAAAGAGCUUAAAUUUAUGAAAACCAUCUACGGGAAAUCAAUUAAUUUACAUAUCCAGUAAAUGCUGUCUUCCCUGUAGAGGUUGCGGGCCAAAUUCAAGAACCGCUUAAAUUAAUCUCUAAUGGCUAUGGCCUGUAGAUUGUUUUCUUGAACUAAACUUGGUUGAAAGAUUAGACAUUGGACUACCUCAAGUAAAUCAGGUGGCAAGUAAAAAAUAGAUGGUUGAAUCGAAGGGUGUAUAUACCAAGAACAUCAGGUUCGAUCCUGAACAAUUUUUGAGAGAUGUGUGCUCACUGUUUCUGCAAAGCAAGAAGGGUGCAUUGUUCCAGCCCAGCACAAAAACGAAAAUAAGCUGCAGGGUAACCAGUCCAGAGAGAACAUCACCAUCCUUGCUCAACCUUGAUCAAAUAAAUUUAAUGUUUCAAAAUUUUGUUAAAGUACGUGUAAAUUAAAUCAUAUUAUUCAUUAAAAUUAAUUUUAUUUCUUUUUUUUUAAGAGCAUCUAGAAAUUUAAUAAAAUCUUAAGAACUUAUCUCUCAGAACCACCUGAUUAGAAGCCAUAAAAUCAUCUAGUAGAUGAGUGAUUCAGUGGUAAGAAUUUCAAAUUCAAGAGUUUGUAGGUGAGUGAUUUAGUGGUAAGAAUUUCAAAUUCAAGAGUUUGCUUUUCAUUGUAGUUUCAAAUUCGAACCCUGUGAUUGCUAAUAUGAUGGUCAUUGGAGGUUUUCAUGAUCAUUAAUUUCAGGACCCGUGAGAUUAGUCGAGGUACAUUGUUAAUUUCAGGGCCCGUGAGAUUAGUCGAGGUACGCGCAAACUGAACCGGACAUUCACGUUAAUAAAUUUUUUUUAAUCAUUACGAGGUUUGAAUUUAAAAAAAUAAACAUAACUUUUAUGCCCAUAAAUCUAAGAAGAAUUAUUUCUUAAUAAUAAUAAUUUUAUCAUAUUGUAAACAAUGCUUUUAUCAUAAUAUUAACGGUUCAAUUUUCUGAUUAAAUUUUUUCUUAAUGAUAAUUUAUUUAAAAAAAAUAGAAAAAUGAAUGGGAUGCAUGUGAAUGUUUGUCGAUCAAAAUCUUUUUUGAUUCGGAGGUUGAAAUCAGAAAAAAGAAUAAUUUAGGGAUUGUCAUCCUCAACAGCCUACAGUUCAAGGGCGUAUAUAUGGAUUAGCCCAACUCUUUAUGGGCCCGAAAUCCAAUUACUAAAAUGCCCGCCACCUCAUCACUCCUUAAGACCACAAGAGGAAGGGCAGCAAAGGAAUUAACGGAAAAUAGAACCAGUCCCCUUAAAACGUAGAGAUACCUACCCUACAGCCAGAAAUCAGUGAAGAAUGAGGUUUUGCUCUAGAGAGAGACAUGGGAAUGGAUUUUCUCAGGGUGGUUGCCUCUCUCUCUCUCUCUCUCUGAAUGUCUGCGAAGCCUAUGAUUUCACGAUCUGAUAAUCAAUCAACCGCCCUGAGUUUGUGUGUAUGUGUCUGUAUAUAUAUGUAUGUGUGUGUGUAUGCUCUGGCGGUUCUCUUGCUGAUGAGAAUGCCUUUGCUUAUGCUCCUUCUCUUCUCCUGGUAGAGGCUGUGAUGAUAUUUCCCAGCGAAAACAUCAGUCAUUUUAAAGAAACCCUUCAAUCAUUUGGCAAGGCAAGUUAGGAUUUCGCUCAGAAAAUGACUCUUUUGUCCUGAGAUUCUUCUCUUGCAGCCAUGGUGUUUUUGUGUUUCUUUUUUAUUGUCUGGUGAUUAGUAUGGAUUUGAGCCUUUCCCUCUCUUUCUCUCUCUCAAAUAAAAAUAAAAAACAAUUCAAUCUCCCUCUCUCUAUCUCUCUCUCUCUCAAUCGGCUGUGAUGAUUUUUUUCUAAAUAGAAAAUCAGAUGGAAAGGAAGAUGUGAUCUUUGGCAGGGUAACUUUGAGGAGAUCAUUGUUGCAGCCAUUGAUUGUCAGUGUUCCUUUUCGUGUCUGACCAAAGGCGAAUCUGAGCCUCCCUCCCUCCCUCUUCUUCCUAAUCACUCUCUACAGCUUGAUCUAAACUUUUUUCACAAAUGUUUUUUUUUCCUGAAAAAUUUCAAAUGGGCUCAGUAUUUUCAAAUCAAUUUUUAGCAUUUUCAUUGUUUUUCUUAGAAAAACCAGAACUCUCUCUGUGAUCAGACCCUGUACCAUGUUUCGUGUCUUUAAUGCCCCGAAUUAUUCAAAUGGGCUGUUGAAUUGCAUGUCAAGCUAAAAUUUGGGUAAAGAAAGGGUCUUCUUUUGAACAAAUUUAAGUGAUAGUGAGCUACAGAUCUCAUUCUAUGAGGUUUGAAACUUAGACAUGAAAGAUGAGACAUAAUUUACUCUGCCCAGUUAUUGUUUCUAUUUAGGUAAAAACCUGACACUAAUGGGCCAUUCAGCUUGUGUUUAACGAGUUAUAUAUACAAACUCGUCCAGAGAUUUGAUUAAGUUGCCAGUAGACAGGUUAAAAAAAAAAUCAGCCACAUAUCCUUGCCAUGUUAACUAAUUACACAUCAAAGAUAGCAAGGUAAAUGCCAUGAUGGCUACUAAAGAAAGGCCCACGUUAGCAAUGUUUUGUAAGGCAUUUGAAUGAGGUGAAGUUGCAGGAGGGGGGGAUGCAGGAGGGGGGGAUGCAGGUUUGGUUACGGCAGGGAGUGGUGGGUCCACAACAUCUGCAACAUCCAAGGCUGGUGUUGGUGUACUUGCUGGUGGCUGUGUUUCUUCAGGAACUGUCUUCAGUAGACUACCAGCUUCAGCUGGAAUGAUGCUGUAUGAGCUAUCGGGCAUGGAAUUGGAAGAACAUGGAUUUCCUGAAUGGGAUCAAUGUUAGUAUGUUAGUGUACAAACUAGAGGAGUAAAGUCUAGGCGUCUUUUGUUAAGCAUGAGCUUUUGUAUAAGAAUUUAUAGUUUUGGUGAGGCUGGUACUUACUCAAAUAUCUGCUUGCAGUUGCUGGAUACUCGGUUAUGAUUCCAUCAACGCCUAUUCCAGAAGUGUAAGUUGCGAUCUCUAUUGUAGGAUCCGAAAAGUAAUCAAAUGGAAGGGUAAUAAAUUCAUUCCUUAAGACUGAGACAUAUACUGAGAUAUUCGCUGCUUGCAUUUCGUUUACGACUUUGGUGGUUCCUGUAGUGAAGCCAUUAACGGUGGGCACGAUGGAGAAUCUUGGCAGAGUUACUGCAUCAGCAUAUUUUUUGAUCUCCUCCACUGGUGUCCUGGGCGCAUCACUGAUUUCAUCUUUAAGAUAUAGUACUCUACUGUAUGCUGGGACGUUCUUAAACUUGGACAACACUGAUGUGUCGUCUGACUGGAUUAGGACUUUUUGUGUGGAUUCCUUGCCAAGUGUGGCAUUGCCAAAGGCAGUGUUAACAGCAGAUACUAUAUCAAGACCCUUCUGUGAGGCUAGGUAAGCGGCAUUCUGAAGACCAAGGACGUGCUUUAGAAAUUUGUAUCGUGGGUAGACGUUUAUAGCAAAUACAAACUAUGAUAGCGUGGAGAAUUUUCAAUGAAGUGAAUGAUUUUGACUAUGAAGAUGACACAUUCUAGAACACAGUUAAAAUUUGUGAAAGAGAAAUGCUCACCUCAAUGUUGAUUAAAAUCCCAGUAACCGCCUUUACUUUAGCCAAUUCCAGAAAUUCAGCAAGAGUAAGAAAUUUACCCUUGCUCUUGUUUGCAGGGUUUCUUGGCAAGCCACCCUUAUUCUCGAAAGGGCUUGUCAAUUGAGCUGGAAUAAGAAAAUUUGACAGUCAGGGAUUUCAAAAGAUUGCUUGAACAAAAUUGUAAGCAGGAAAGUAGCAACAAAGUUUACGUUGCAGUGUUUGAAUAUCGCUCCAUGAAAGGUCAAAGGAAAAAAUUCCAGCUGACUCUUGAAUUUCAGGGAUAGUGGUGGAUAGAGACAUGAAGGAAGCUGCUGCAGUUGUAUCUCUUGUAACAUCCACAGAAUCCAAGCAGAAAGCCACUCCAUCCUUUGACAUUUGAACUGAGCAAUCUAUUAUGUUAGCUCCAUCCUCUACAGCUUGCUGAUAAGCAAGAUCGGUGCUCCCAGCAUAAACUCCACUUGCUCCAUUGUGACUUAUGAUCAAAGCUUGUUCUGCAUAUAGACAUGCAUUGUUAAUCGGUUGCUCUUGUGGAAUGUACGUCGAAUAUAAGAAAAGCAUAUACCUUUUGUAGGUUUGAUAUCGGUGUACUGAGCAAAACAAGCUGCAUAAGAAAGAUAAAAUUGUAGGGUUAUAUUUUACACAUUCAUCUUCAUAGUACAAUUAAGAUGCUUUCUGAAAAGAAAACACACUUUGAUGACAAAAUCCUUUCUUUCAAUGUUGUUUCUAUCACAUGUUGGCCGAAAAUGAACACAGAGAGAAGGCAUGAGAAUGUAUUGACUUACCAACAGCCUCUGAUGCUGUGGGAGGAAAAUCUGUAAUCAACCCAUCAACAGAGAACUGGGAAUUAUCAAUGAAUUGCAGGUACUCAGCUGAUGGAUCAUAACUAUAAUUAUAACUUGUAGUGAAGUCAUUUGCAAAUCCAGAAGCAUAUACUUCAAGACCAAGUUUAUGAGCAUCGUUUACAAGGCUAGUGGGAGCUUCUAAAUAGUUAGCUGCAUUAACAGGCCAUAUGUAAUCUUUUGGGACAACAAUCCCAGAUGCGAAUGCCUUGAUUGUGGCAAGAUUUCCCAAAAUUGAACCAUAAGUUUGCUUGGUUGUGGGUUCAGUUGCAUUUUUGUCUAGGAACACAAAGACGAGCUUGGUCUUAGCCUUGUUCACCAAUCCAUUGAUUUUCUUUAAAAAACCAAUCUCAGGAGAAGAAAUGUAAUUCACACCCUGAAGUCUCGUUGCCUUUUGAAUGUAAUUUGCCACACUUAGUUUGUUUUCAGUAUAGAAUGCAUCAUACUGCAAACCAAGAAAAUAUAGAAAGCAAAGGCAUUAGUACUGCACACACUCAUAUGUUAAUUAGGAAGUAAAUUCAUAUAGAUUUCUGGGCAUGGAACCUGUCGACACCGUAAACCUUGAAAGGAAUAUUCAAACAAAGUUGUUAUCAGAAAGAGAGAGAGAGGAGAGGGACACCUGAACAUUCAACCAGAAUGCAGGGGGAUUGGAACUUCUGACAUCAUCAACAGUUGAUAUGGGCAGCAUCGCGUCGAAUGCACUUGGCCGGGAGAAAAUAUUUUGCAGCACUGCAUACGAGCAAAAUGACAACGCCGAAGAUGAAUUUUAGUCAUUUCAAGGCACAAAAUAAUUUGGUGAAGCUUAUUACCUUUCCUAUCUAUGCCAUGAAUAAUAAUAAGAUCUUGCAACCAUGAAACUGCUAUUUUCGUUCAAGACCUUGUAUCUGAUUUCCGCUAGAUUAUGGUAACACAAGAAGAUCUCUCUAUUAAACCAAAAUGUAGUUUCUGAGACUUACAGGACACAUUGGCAAGGAGUUGAUCAGCUGUAAAAUCUAUGGCGAACCACCCGGUUAUAUCCUGCCCAUUUACCUUGUAGGUUCUUGAUCCCUUUUCAAAUACCAUUGCUAUAUUUGUUGUGUUGUCAAGCCUGAUAUCUCCCUGGCAAAUCCCAACCCCUUCUUUUGUUAGUUGUAAAUUGCAGAGCACAGCCACACCACUCAGGCUUGUCGCAAGCGCCAUCUGAUUUGCAAAGUCACUGGAUUCAGGGAAGAGCCCCGAAAACCCUCCUCGGGCUAUCACAGAAGGUCUCCGGCCUGCAUGCACGAUGCACAAUCAUGUUGUCUUCCAUCAGACGAGGUUUCCAGUUGGAUUCUAAAAUAUAAGCAAAAGUAAAAUGCUGCUACCAUUUAGAGUCAGCCAUUUCUUUGAAGCAGAUUCUGAAUUCGCCAACGUCGCAUGGAUUACCAAAAAAACUAAAAGCACAUUCUUGAUCAUUUUCUUCUAAUCCUGUUAAUCUGUUAAACAAUGGUUGGUAUCCAAAUUCAACGAACCAUAACGAAUCAAUUUCGAAAAGAAAAAAACCCAUUGAUGAACUUACAUGAAUUUUUAAGGAUUAGGCUUAGAACAUGGGAAACAUUAAUUAGUUCCCUUGCAAGUUUCAAUUGGGAAUGAAUGAAACUCUUCAAGGAAAUGGAAUAAAAAUUCAAGAAAAAAAGGGGAGAGAAAUUGGUCUGACAAUUAAAGCAAUGACCAAGAAUCAAUUUUUUUUUCUUUUUUUGCGAUGCUAAAUUAACUCCUCCUCGUUUUUAUCGCAUUAAUGGCUGGUCGAGAAAUCAGUAAGCAGUUCGCUGCUUUGAUUUUAUGAUUUUAUUUAUGAACUUGAGAAUUACUUACUAUUUUUUAUUCCUAAUAUUUAGAAUCCUUUUUGUUGUUGAUUUUUUUUUGUCCAUCUUUCGCGGAAUGAUUUCACAGCUAAAAGUCCAACGACUUAACUGUUUUUUGAAACCCCUGCCUGCUAAUUUUAAAUUUUGAUGUGUCCAUCUUUAAGUUUUCUUCAUUUUUUAUUUUAAGGGCUUGUUUUGUCUUCCAUUCAAAUUAAAAUUAAGAAAAAUAAAUAAAUAAAUCCCAUCUUGAUUUCUUUGUUCACCCACUCACAAGUUAAGUUCAUGUGCACAGUAUUUUUUUUUGUUAUUUUUUUAAUUUAAUUUUUUAACAUUGUGUAUAUUAAAAAUUAAAUUUUAUAAUUUAUUUAUAUUUAUUUUUUAUAGGAUUAUUACGAUCUAAAAAAAUAUUUCAGCAAUAAGUCGGUACUUUAUUUUGCAUUAAAUAAUAUGAUUUUACUGAAGAUUGAGAAUUAGAGAAUUAAAAUUGAGAAUCAAUUAAAAUGUCAAACCUUUUAUAAAACAAAUCAAAAUGUUUCUCACACUUUUUCUGAAUAUAGCAAAGUUACUAUUUGAUCCCUUAGAUUUUCUAUUGAAUGUUUUGGCCCCAAAUUUCAUUGUUCUCACUUGUAGUUACUGGUUUGAGAUAGAAAAGGAAAAUUAUUCUAAAAUGAUGAGGAAAGAAAAAGUUGUUUAUUGAUCAUAUUUCAACCACUAAACAAAUAGUUUUUAGUGUAAACGAGUUAUAUUUGAUUAAAGAAGUUCUACUGGGGUAUUUUUUGCUCUUCACACUCCUUGAAAAAAAUAGAUUAGGGCUCAAGAAAUUUUUUAAAUUCGAGUUAAUCUUUUGUUUUUGGACUUUUUAAAUGUUAAGAUUACAAAUGAGUUAUUUUUGUACAUAUAUUUUUUAAAUUCCACCUUCCAAGAUCUUUUCUUUUAAUUUUAUCUUUCAACACUUUAUUAUUUUUAAAUAGGUCUUCAUAAUUUGUUUUAGUUUUCUUUUUAUGAUGUUAUUGCGGUUUAAAACAAACAUCCUUGUAUUUGAUUUGUACUCAAUUUUUGCGGUCGUUCAUUUUUGUUAUCAUAUCAUUAAAUAAAAAAUAUUUGAAAAAACUUUUUUUAACACAAUGGAGUCCAUGACCUAGUUCAUGAGUUUUGUGAGUUAAACCAUAAAGCCCAAGUCGAUCAAAUAUGUCGUCAUCUUGGUAUUAUUUUUUUAUUUUUCAAUUUUUUUUUAAAAAAAACCCCACCUUCCAAAAUUCUUUCUUUCAAUCUCAUUUUUCAAUAUUUAUUGAUUUUUAAUUGGCUAUCAUAAUUUGUUUCAAUUUUAUAUUUAUGAAGUUCUCGUAAUCUCAAAUAAAUAUUCCAAUAUUUGAUUGAUACUUAGUUUUUACAAGCAUCUAUUUUUGUUCUCAUAUCAUUCAAUGAAAAAUAAUUGAAUUUUUUUUUUAAAUAUAGUGGAGUCCAUGAUUCAGGUUGUGGAUUUUAUGAGUUAAACCGCAAAGCUCGAGUCAAUCCAAUGUGUUGCCAUCCUAGUAUUAAUAAAAAAAAUAUCUUCUUAUUUUUUUUUAAAAUCAAACUAUGAUUUUAACAAUCAUUCGAAUUGUCUUAUAACUUGCCAAGUAAACUCGGACAUGUAGAGUCAAUUUUCAUGUGAGUUAAUUUUAAAUUCAAGUUGGACAAGAAGUUAGGUAGGGAGGUUUUAAGGUUGAACCAUUGGGUCCGAUUUAAUAAUAAUACCAAAUAGUUUUUUUUUUUUAAAUUUCAUCUUCCAUUUUUUUUAAUCAAUUGAAUCCUCUUUGGCUUUUUUAAUCAAUUGCAUUUUUCAAUAAUUAAUUGAUUUUGAAUUUAUGUUCAUAAUUUUCUUUGAUUUAUUUUUUAUGAUAUUAUCGCAAUUUUAAAUAAUCAUCCCGACAUUUGUUUGGUGCUCAAUUAUAUGAUUGUUUAUUUUUGUUAUUAUAUCAUUGAUUAAAAAAUAAUUUUAAAAAACAAAAUGAUUAAAUUCAAUAAAGUCCAUGAUUUGGGUAAUAAGUUUAGUAGGUUGAGUCGUAAAGCUCAAGUUGAUCUAAUAUAUAACUGUCUCAAUAUUAAAAACAAAAUUUAAUCUUGAAUUUUUUUUAAAAAACAAACCAUGUUUUUUUAUAGGCAAUCCAAAUUAUUUUUGGAUCUAUCCAGUUAAUUAAGUUAUACCAUGAAAAUUCUUACAAGAUUAAUUUACACUAGAAAACAAGUUAAGAAAAUUUAAAAUUAAUUAUAAAAUCAAGUUUAAUAAAAAUAUUAAAUAAUUUUUUAAUACACUAAAAUUUAUUUAGAUUCAAUAAAUAUUUUAUCCAAUAUGCAGCAGACCAAAAAAUUAGUUUUAUCCUAAAACUGCACUGGAUUGGAUAAAAGGAGAAGCUGUAAAUGGGCAUCUAAAUUCAUUCAGAAUAAAUUUUUAUCAAAAUACGUGAUAAUAGAUAAUGCGUUAAAAAAUAAUAUUAAAUUGAUAUUUAUCUUAAAACUUUUAAAAAAUCAAGAUAAACAUUAACUAUUAAAAUGUAAUAUCUCUAUUGCUUCGGUAGAAGUAAAAUUAAGAUAGAAAAAAA
Molecule: long non-coding RNA, 9972 nt
Filed under: Populus trichocarpa (black cottonwood)
Lineage: Eukaryota; Viridiplantae; Streptophyta; Magnoliopsida; Malpighiales; Salicaceae
Description: long non-coding RNA (PTRI_LNC004067)
Source: RNAcentral